Molecule: long non-coding RNA, 2220 nt
Organism: Cuculus canorus (common cuckoo)
Lineage: Eukaryota; Metazoa; Chordata; Aves; Cuculiformes; Cuculidae
Exons: 3
Source: RefSeq, a predicted model, not a curated record
GCGGUGAGCCGAGGCCCGGAGCCCGUCCCGGCGGCUCCGCACCCACCCGCCUGGCAGAGCUGGAAGGGGGGGGCACGGGCGGGGCGGCCCCUCAGGGCCGGGGGACCUCGCAGGUCAGGCAGGAUGCUUUCUGGAAUAAUCCGUACUGCCCACAUACCAGCAGGUGGAGCAUCUGUGACAUAAGACAGACCUCGGGCUCCCUCCAGCAUUUGGGAAAAGUGGUUGCCAUGAUUAGUUUGCAGCUAAUAUAGUGGUUGUCCAAGUAACUUGCAUCAUGAAAUUGUAAAAUUCCCAUAACAGUGGAGGAAGCAGGAAUCCUUCAGCUGGAAGAUAGAGUGCAGGGCUACUCUUUGGCCACAGUGCUCUUUAAACCAUCCUGAAAGUGCAGCAGUAGUCAGGCCCUGUGGUGUGAGUAUUCUUUCUCCGUGUUUUUGGAGUGGUCUUUGCAGAACAGCCUCCCUCAUUAAGAAGAUUAUAAAGCAAAUACUAAAUUGCACUAAAUGAUGUUACAUAUAAACUGGAGGGGGGCAGAUAUAGACUAGACAUAAGGAAGAAUUUCUUCACCAUGAGACUGAUGAGACACUGGAACAGGUUGCCCAGGGAUAUGGAUGCCCCAUCCCUGGGGGUGUUCACUGCCAGGCUGGAUGGGGCCUUUGGCAGCCUCAGCUAGUGGGACGUGUCUCUGCCCAUGGCAAGGGGAUUGGAACUAGAUGAUCUUUAAGGUCCCUUCCAACCCAAACUAUUCUAUGAUUCUAUGUUCUUACUGCUGAAUUAUUUUCUAUUUGAGGUGUGACGGAGAUCUCAGCUGCUUGUGUAUUACUCUAUUUUGCAGGUAUGCAUAAAAUAUAAGUGUUUAGGUUCUGUAAUUCAAAUUGCAGCUAAUAAAAGUUGCUUUAGGAUUAACUUUGGAAUAACUGUGUUUAUUACUUCCAGACUGCCUAUCACUAUAGGCUGGAUAAUGGCAUUCUUUGUUGCUGAUCUGGGUUUUUUUUUCUCCCUGAGAAAUAGAUUACUUUUCUUAAUUCGUUUUUCAUGUGAAAAGCAGAGUGGAAGAAGAUGAAUCCUAAAUAAUUCUCUUUGAGAAAGCACUUUGCCAAGACUGAAUAUAGGAAUAAUUUGUAGCAGAUCCUACAAUUUCUUUUUCUUUUUAAAUCCUGCUCAGUGCAGGGCUCUCCAAAUACCAGAACUAGCUGUGACUACUGGACAGCAUUUGGCAGUGCAGUGUUAGGAUAUUUCUUGACAUUGUGAACCCCAGAAUGGACAUGUAAGUUUCCAAUUUUUUAGACAAUUUUCAGACAAUUGAAAAUGCAUUGGGAUAUUAUACUAAUUCAUGUUGUGAAUUAUCUAAUGGCUUAAAGCUUUGGAAAGAAUUUCUUGCUGUAUGUGCUUCUCCUGCCAUUUACUUUACAUCGGCACUCAGUAGACAUCUCAGUAAACUGAUUCAAUUUGUACAACAGUUGAAGGGUCAUGCAAUGAACUACAUUCGUGUUUUAAUUGGGAUCAGGAGUGCAUUUUUGACAUGACUGUUCUGAUGGUCUUCAGUUACUGUUCUGCAGUUCUUGUGGAAUGUGCAAAUUGACUUCUUUUGAAUGAAACAAAGUUGAGAGGCGUGCUUCUGGACUUGGCUAAUGCAUUUGAUUUAAGGCUGUUUAGACCAUUGAUGGGACUACUAGGCUUAAUCCUGAAUUGAAGCCGCAUGGAACACAUGUAGUUUGAGUAUUGUUUUCAGCACAAACUGUUCUGUUUUGCAGAUCUCCUCCUGUUGUGCAGGGCGCAGGGUUGGUUUAUUUAAGAUGGCUACACUGGUUAGUUAGCAAAAAGGUGUGAAAAGUACCAGUCAAUGCAAGGAAGAGAGAGUUCAUUUUAUCUGCUAGUCAUACUGAUUAAACUGAGUAGCUUUCAUUCUUAUUUUUAAACUCGGUGACAGCAUGAGAUAAUUCAAGGUUUGCUGAACCAAAAGUACUCAAAAAGCAGGAUUCUCAUGUCAGGUGAAUGACCUAGAGCUCUGCAUUUGUGACAAAAGGGACAGUUUAAUGUGCCGGGCUGUCCAUGUUCUAUAUUUAUUUUAUUGUUAUUUGAAAAGCCAUACUUAAUAAUGGGAGGAAACAGAACUGAGACUUCCUAUGGAAAAAUACAGACUUAAAAUCUGUAGUCUAUCCUUAAGUGUAAGGCAUCCUUGUGUAUUGUUAAAGAGUGACAUUUUAAGAACUUCAUCUUCAA